GAUGAACGCUGGCGGCGUGCCUAAUACAUGCAAGUCGAGCGGACGGACGAGAAGCUUGCUUCUCUGAUGUUAGCGGCGGACGGGUGAGUAACACGUGGAUAACCUACCUAUAAGACUGGGAUAACUUCGGGAAACCGUAGCUAAUACCGGAUAAUAUUUUGAACCGCAUGGUUCAAAAGUGAAAGACGGUCUUGCUGUCACUUAUAGAUGGAUCCGGGCUGCAUUAGCUAGUUGGUAAGGUAACGGCUUACCAAGGCAACGAUGCAUAGCCGACCUGAGAGAGUGAUCGGCCACACUGGAACUGGGACAGGGUCCAGACUCCUACGGGAGGCAGCAGUAGGGAAUCUUCCGCAAUGGGCGAAAGCCUGACGGAGCAGCGCCGCGUGAGUGAUGAAGGUCUUCGGAUCGUAAAACUCUGUUAUUAGGGAAGAACAUAUGCGUAAGUAACUGUGCACAUCUUGACGGUAACUAAUCAGAAAGCCACGGCUAACUACGUG
RNAcentral lists this ribosomal RNA (497 nucleotides) under uncultured bacterium. Its description in RNAcentral is "partial 16S ribosomal RNA". It matches the Rfam family "Bacterial small subunit ribosomal RNA", at positions 28 to 507 of the family's 1533-position model. The record is from RNAcentral.